GGCAGUAAAGACAAACUGAGUCAGCAGUUAGGAGUGGACUCCCUUAAACAACAGAGUUAGAGUGGGGAAGUGGUCAUAACAUCGCUGUAAUCACAAACUUGUUUUUCCUAACACUGCAAUCUACAGAAGUUUCAGGAUUUCCUCUAAUAAACAUAAGGCUACUAGACGCAACAAUAGAAUUACCAUAUUGUUUUUCCUGGUUUGAAAGGACCAGAUGGAAAGAAACUGGGCAAGCCAAUGAAAGUCUCUGGGGAUCAUGGGAAUUGAGUGUCUAUGAAAACCAUAUUCCAGACAAGAAUAUAGUCUAAGGACACAGCAAGAGGCAACAUUUUGGAAGCAGAGGGCAACUCUCACUGGAAACCAAAUCUCCUGGCACCUUGAUCUUGGAUUUUACAGCCUCCAGAACUGAUAGCUGGGAGGCAUUACAUAGUCAUGUGCGAGGUCAAAACUGAGUCACCACCACAACCAAGUUCCAGCUGGCAAGAAGAGGAAAAAUAACACAGAGGAGUUAUGACCAGUGUUGUAAGGAUCUGGCCUAGAAAUGGCAUGCAUCUCUUCCACUAAUAUCCUAUUGGUAAAAAUGUAGUCACAUGGGCACACCACCUAUCUGCAUGGAAGGCUGGGAAAUGUUGAUCGGUAGGGCAGCCAUAUGUGUAGGAAGGAGAAAACAGAAUUUGGUGGAUACCUAGUAGUCUCUGCCAUACCCUUGACCAGAAAUUUUUCUUCUAAAGAAUUUAAUUCUAAAAGUUAUAGACAUUCCCAAAGAUAUACCUGCAAGCAUCACAGCUUUGUGUAUAAUUGCAAAAGUUGAAAUCAACAUGAAUGCCCAAAAUAGUGAAUUAUUUAAACAGAUUAUUACCCAUAUUAUGAAGAAAUACUCUGCAACUCUUAAAAAUAAAUGUAAUGUGCCAGGCGCAAUGGGAUAUGCCUGCAGGCCCAGCUACACGGGAGGCCAAGGCAGGAGGAUCACUUGAAAUCAAGAGUUCAAGUCUAGCCUAGACAACAUAGUGAGACUUGGUCUCUAAAAAAGAAAAAAAAAAAUAAAACUGAUGUAAUGAAUAUAUAAUUACAACAAAAGAGGUCUAACACUAUAGUAGAAAAGUUUGGGGCACUCAUCCCAUUCAUAAUUAUUUUACAUUUAAAUUACUGUUCCUACUUAAGUGGUGAGCUUGGUAACCAUUUUCAUAUCAGGUGAUACUGCUGCAGUAAUCAUAGCUGUUUGAAUCAGGAAUAAUCCCAAUCACAUUUUCUCUUAAUCGUUUAUUAUACUGGGCAUUGGGGUUGCAAGAUAAUGCACAGUCCGAGCUCAAUACAUGUCUUCAUGUACCUGUAUGUAAAUCCCACUUUUAUUCUAAAAUUCUUUGAAUAUUUUGUUUCUUGGAACCCAAUGAUCCUAAGAAAAUUAUGUACUUUUACCUGAAAAUUAAAACCAAUAUUUAUAAAAAGUGUAUAUGCAGUAUGAUACCACUUUUAAAAAAAGAUAAAUUUAUAGAAAAAAGUUUAUAUGACUGACAACAAUGUCUCUGAGUGGUAGGAUUACAGUUAAUUUUUAUUUUCUUCAUUCUACUUAUCUUUAUUUUCUGAACUUUCUACAAUGAACAUGUUUUAUUUUUACUUUUGUUAAAAUAAAUAACAUUUAAUUUGACGGAAAAUUCUAAAAAUCAACAUUUGGUAACUUAAAUAUUCAUUGGCACAUGAUUCUGUGCCUGUUUCUGGGGGUCAUUCCCAUGAGAAGAGCAGGUAGAACUUAUGAGAAUAGAGCAGUCGAAAUAUUAUAGGUUUCAUAUUUUACGGCUUUAUUGAAAACAUUGAUAUAUUGAAUAUUCAUAAAUUUUAAUUUAACUUUCUUUUAUAAUCCUUAAUGUGAGGCUAAGGUAUAAGGAGAAAGGAGAUUGGUAAGGAAGUGUGAUACAUAUUGAAUCAGGUGUCAAGGUACCAUUUGUGCCUGGAUCUGACCAAUAGACCAAGGUAAAAAUCUCAAAGAAUGAGACUUGUAAUGAGAAUGCCACAAACUUGAAUACCUUAUGCACAAAACACAAACAUUGUUAUGCAUAAUGUACAUGAACCCUGAAACAAAGAUAAUGAUUUGGACCACCCAACUGAAGUGGCAUGUUAUGUUUUUGGCAUGAACAAAAGAAACAAGAGAGAAAAAAAUCAAAAUAAUUAAAAUAAAUUGUUAGAGAAAAGUUACUUUAAAAAUAGCUAUAACGCUUUGCAAUUUCAGUAACAGUUCUGCCUCUGAUGCAAUGUAAAACAUGUAUUAGACAUUCAGGCUCCACAAUAAAUUUUAAUGAGCACUACAAAUUUAGAAUAUAUAAAAAUAUCAGUAACCUAUGAAUUCAUCAACAUAACUCACUUUUCAGUUAAGUUAGGCUGAGUUGAAAUUCUACUAAGUUUUCCCAUAUUCUUGAUAAAGGCUAAAUUUGAAAUAAUUUAUUUAGAUGACUAAUUGGCAAUUUGAUAGUAGUUACAUUUUAUGUAACACUUGAUAUAAUAACCCAAAUUAAUUAGCUCAAUAUUAUCUUCUGUGGUUUAUUGAUCCAAAAGUACAUAUUUGUUAUGUAAACUUAUACUAUGUAAACUUGAAUUAGUUUUUUGCUUCCUUGAAUUAAUAAAGCCCAUUAAUGCAAAUCUAAGCCUUCAUAGACUUUUCCAAUCCUUAGUUAAAUAUUAAAAACUGAGUAUUGUAGUUAUUUGCUAGGUAUAAAAGGUGACUCAGAGUAGAGAGUAAGAUGUCAGCAAAUAGACAAUAAGAUGUCAGCAAAAGUGCCUCAAAUUUUAACUGCGUCAAGUUAAGGGCAUUGUAAAUACUGUAGUUUUAUGUAGCUUGCAACUUCUACUGAAAUGAGUUUAAUCAUGUCUUUCACAUAGCUGAAGUUUGUGUCAAGAUUUAAGCUGAUUUUCUCAUUCUUAUCAAAGUCUCACCUGGGGGUAGGGAGGGGUAGGCCUACCUCCCACCUCUAUACUAUCAUUUUAGGAACAGACAGGCAUAAAUCUGUUCAUAUGGUAGAACACAUGAUGUUAGAGUAUAUUUUGUUGAAUGCUAUGGAAUAUUAAUAUAAUUAAUUCUAAAAUAUCACCUAAAAUAUGUCAACUGAAGAUCUGACUGUACUAAAUAUGAAAAAUAAAGCAGCACAUACUUUC
RNAcentral lists this long non-coding RNA (3144 nucleotides) under Homo sapiens (human). RNAcentral's name for it is "WDFY3 antisense RNA 2, transcript variant 12 (WDFY3-AS2)". Lineage: Eukaryota; Metazoa; Chordata; Mammalia; Primates; Hominidae. The record is from RNAcentral.